RNAcentral lists this long non-coding RNA (616 nucleotides) under Penaeus chinensis. RNAcentral's name for it is "uncharacterized LOC125027256, transcript variant X1". Lineage: Eukaryota; Metazoa; Arthropoda; Malacostraca; Decapoda; Penaeidae. The record is from RNAcentral.
UUGAAACUCGAACGCGUCUCUCGGUCAUUCCCUCGACGACGCUGAAGGAGGAUGGACGUCUUCGUUAUAUUUCCUUCAAUUAUUGCGUUUCUUUGGGGUAUAUCGAUGGAUGCCGACGUAACCUGAGUGUCUAAUGUCCUCUAAAAUGAGUAGAUUGGUCCUGUUUAUUUGAUGAAUGACGGAAAGUUCAGUUUUUUUGAUGGAGCUGGUGUGGUUGCAGUGCCAACAUGACUUGAGUGGAAAGUGCCAGGGGUGGUACUUCUAUAGGGAAUGGUUGACCUGAUGUUUGUCAAAAGUUUAAGGAUGUUUGUUUUGGAAGCUUGAGGGUUUGAUGCUGCCAACAUGAGCUAAAUGCAAGGUGUCCAGGGCUUAUGGUCAAAUCGAAGUGGCAUGGCUUGUCAGGAUGUGAAGUUUUUAACUUUUGCUUUGGUAUUUGGAGAUCACAAGCUGAUGGUAUUGACCAGUGGCCGUGAAGAUGGAGUAAAGAUGGAUUGAGAAAAAAUAUGCAGGCAGAGUUGGUAUUACACUCAACCAUCAACAGUGCUACAAGGAUCGUCCAGAAGUAGCAGUUAGGUUGUCAUCAGCGACUGCAAAUAAACAUUGAUCUGAUUAUCAA